GACGAACGCUGGCGGCGUGCUUAACACAUGCAAGUCGAACGGAAAGGCCCUGCUUUUGUGGGGUGCUCGAGUGGCGAACGGGUGAGUAACACGUGAGUAACCUGCCCUUGACUUUGGGAUAACUUCAGGAAACUGGGGCUAAUACCGGAUAGGAGCUCCUGCUGCAUGGUGGGGGUUGGAAAGUUUCGGCGGUUGGGGAUGGACUCGCGGCUUAUCAGCUUGUUGGUGGGGUAGUGGCUUACCAAGGCUUUGACGGGUAGCCGGCCUGGGAGGGUGACCGGGGACCAGGGGACUGAGGGACGCAGCAGACUGCAACGGGGGACAGCAGGCGGGAAUAUUGCACAGUGGGCGGAAGCCUGAUGCGGAGACGCCGCGUGCGGGAUGACGGCCUUCGGGUUGUAAACCGCUUUCGCCUGUGACGAAGCGUGAGUGACGGUAAUGGGUAAAGAAGCACCGGCUAACUACGUG
This 468-nucleotide ribosomal RNA is filed under the name uncultured bacterium. RNAcentral's name for it is "partial 16S ribosomal RNA". It matches the Rfam family "Bacterial small subunit ribosomal RNA", at positions 28 to 507 of the family's 1533-position model. The record is from RNAcentral.